Molecule: ribosomal RNA, 1008 nt
Filed under: Bacillus sp. BAB-2713
Lineage: Bacteria; Bacillati; Bacillota; Bacilli; Caryophanales; Bacillaceae
Description: bacterial SSU rRNA
Rfam family: Bacterial small subunit ribosomal RNA
Source: RNAcentral
UUGUCNGCNGCUUAGACAUUGAUGCAACUCGAGCCAGACAAAUGGGAAGCUGGGCUACCUGAUGUUAGCGGCGGGACGAGUGAGUGAACACGUGAGUAACCCUGCCUGAAAGACUGGGAUAACUCCGGGGAAAACAGGCGCUAAGACCGGAUGAUGAUUGUUUGAACCGCAUGGUUCAAAAAUAAAAGGUGAUGCUUCGGGCCUACCACCUACAGAUGGACCCGAAGGCGCAUUUAGCUAAUUGGGGAGGGGUAACGGCUCACCAAAGCAACGAUGCGUUAGCCGACCUUGAGAGGGAGAAUCGCCCACACCGGGGACUGAGACACGGGCCCAGACUUCCUACGGGAGGCAGCAGUAGGGAAUCAUCCGCAAAGGACGAAAGUCUGACGGAACAACGCCGCGGGAGGGAUGAAAGUUUUCGCAUCGUAAAGCUCUGUUGUUAGGGAAGAACAAGCUACCGUUCGAAUAGGGCGAUACCGUGACGGUUACCUAACCAGAAUAAGCCACGGCUAACCUACGUGCCAGCAGCCCCGGUAAUACGUAGGUGGCAAGCGUUGUCCGGAAUUAUUGGGCGUAAAGGGCUCGCAGGCGGUUUCUUAAGUCCAAUGGGAAAACCCCCGGCCCAACCGGGGAGGGUCAUUGGAAACUGGGGAACCUGAGGGCAGAAGAAGAGAGUGGAAAUUCCACGUGUAGCCGGUGAAAAGCGGAGAAAAGUCGGAAGGAACACCAGUGGCGAAGGCGACUCUUCUGGUCCGUAAAUGACGCUGUAGGAGCGAAAGCCUUGGGGAGCCAACCAGGAUUAGAAAACCCUGGUAGUCUCACGCCGUAAACGAUCCAGCGCUAAGUCCUAAGGGCCUCUUCCGCCCCUUACUGCUGCAGCUAACAGCGAUUAAGCACUCCACCUGGGGAGUACGAUCGCAAGACUGAAACUCAAAGGAAUUGACGGGGCCCGCACAAGCGGUGGAGCAUGUGGUUUAAUUCGAAGCACGCGAAGAACCUUACCAGGUC